Contarinia nasturtii (swede midge) is the source of this 231-nucleotide long non-coding RNA. RefSeq lists it as uncharacterized. NCBI's taxonomy places the organism in Eukaryota, Metazoa, Arthropoda, Insecta, Diptera, Cecidomyiidae. The transcript has 4 exons. The record is from RefSeq and is a predicted model, not a curated record.
ACAAGUAAUAACCCAAUCUGGUAAUCAAAAUGUCCAGGAAGGUAAUACAGGCCACGGUGCACAAGGAAUAAACCAAUCUGGUAAUCAGAACGUCCAGGAAGGUAAUACAGGCCACGGAGCGCAAGGAAUAAAUCAAUCAGGCAAUCAAAAUGUCCAGAAAGGUUAUUUAAGCAAGCUUAUACAAGGAAUAAACCAAUCUGGUAAUCAAAAUGUCGAGGAAGGCAAUACAGG